ACGAAGGGUGCAAGCGUUACUCGGAAUUACUGGGCGUAAAGCGUGCGUAGGCGGUUUGUUAAGUCUGUCGUGAAAGCCCCGGGCUCAACCUGGGAAUGGCGGUGGAUACUGGCAGGCUAGAGUACGGUAGAGGAUGGUGGAAUUCCCGGUGUAGCAGUGAAAUGCGUAGAGAUCGGGAGGAACAUCUAUGGCGAAGGCAGCCAUCUGGACCAGUACUGACGCUGAGGCACGAAAGCGUGGGGAGCAAACAGGAUUAGAUACCCUGGUAGUCCACGCCCUAAACGAUGCGAACUGGACGUUGGGCUCAAUUGAGAGCUCAGUGUCGAAGCUAACGCGUUAAGUUCGCCGCCUGGGGAGUACGGUCGCAAGACUG
This 373-nucleotide ribosomal RNA is filed under the name uncultured bacterium. RNAcentral describes it as "bacterial SSU rRNA". It matches the Rfam family "Bacterial small subunit ribosomal RNA", at positions 525 to 896 of the family's 1533-position model. The record is from RNAcentral.